GACGAAGCGUGCAAACGUUAUUCGGAAUCACUGGGCUUACAGAGUUCGUAGGCGGUCUGGUAAGUUGGGUGUGAAAUCCCUCGGCCUAACCGAGGAACUGCGCUUGAAACUACCAGACUCGAGGGAGAUAGAGGAAAGCGGAACUGAUGGUGGAGCGGUGAAAUGCGUUGAUAUCAUCAGGAACACCGGUGGCGAAGGCGGCUUUCUGGGUCUUACCUGACGCUGAGGAACGAAAGCCAGGGGAGCGAACGGG
Molecule: ribosomal RNA, 253 nt
Filed under: uncultured bacterium
Lineage: Bacteria
Description: partial 16S ribosomal RNA
Rfam family: Bacterial small subunit ribosomal RNA
Source: RNAcentral